Molecule: ribosomal RNA, 1060 nt
Filed under: Astrea curta
Lineage: Eukaryota; Metazoa; Cnidaria; Anthozoa; Scleractinia; Merulinidae
Description: eukaryotic LSU rRNA
Rfam family: Eukaryotic large subunit ribosomal RNA (bases 796-1060)
Source: RNAcentral
ACUACCGAUUGAAUGGUUUAGUGAGGCUUCCUGACUGGCGCCGAUACUCUGGCAACAGAGCGUGGGAUGCCGGAAAGUUGGUCAAACUUGAUCAUUUAGAGGAAGUAAAAGUCGUAACAAGGUUUCCGUAGGUGAACCUGCGGAAGGAUCAUUACCGAUACGAUAAAAGCAACUGCUGUGUGAACCGUACUGGACCUUAUCGAGGGGUCGGCCCGGGGGGCCGUUAAAUGGUCAUCGGACGCGACUCUAGCUCUCGCGGCCGCUUGGCCUACCCCGCUUUUUCUUUUCCAACAACGUACGUGUCUUGUUGCCUGAUGGAUGUGGAGACGGAGUCUCUUUGAGGAGGCCUCCGCCUCCACAGGUGGAAAGAAAAAAUGCAAGAGACAACUUUUGACGGUGGAUCUCUUGGCUCACGCAUCGAUGAAGAACGCAGCCAGCUGCGAUAAGUAGUGUGAAUUGCAGAAUUCAGUGAAUCAUCGAAUCUUUGAACGCAAAUGGCGCUCUUGGGUUCUCCCAGGAGCAUGUCUGUCUGAGUGUCGGAUUGUCAUCCAUCGCCGGCCUGCGCUUGCCUGCGCUCGCCGACGGCGUUGAGGCGUCACGGCGCGCGGCCUGAAAACUUGAUCGGGUCGGCCGUGUCCCUUGAAAGGCAGAGAGACUCGCUGUGGUUCGGGGCCUGUCCCCGCAGCGCACCAGCGGAGGCUAAAAGUGUCAGCACUCCUUCGCGCGCUGCCGGGGUCCCCGCCGCGCCCGAGUCGCGGGAGGCGAAAGACAGAAAGCAUUUUCUUCUUCUUGACUUGACCUCAGAUCAGGCAAGGCUACCCGCUGAAUUUAAGCAUAUUAAUAAGCGGAGGAAAAGAAACUAACAAGGAUUCCCUCAGUAACGGCGAGUGAAGCGGGAAGAGCUCAAAUUUGAAAUCUCCGAUGCCUGCAUCGGCGAGUUGUAGUUGCGAGAAGCACUUUCUAGGUGGAUCGGCAGUGCCUAAGUUGCUUGGAACAGCAGGUCGCAGAGGGUGACAACCCCGUCUGUGGCGCUGCCGGCCGCUGACGAUGUGCUUUCGAA